GAUAAGUAACUGGAAAUAAAACAAUGAAGAAGAAAAGAUCGUCGGCAGGUAGUAAACAGCUGGUGUCCAGCAAUCAACAGCCACAAAUCACAGAUGAUCUCAACCCAGAAAUAUCUCAAAGGUUUCAGAAAUAUUGUAAAACCAAAACCAGUCUCGAUAGCAGGCCAAACACGACACCAAAAUAAAACAAGUAAACUCGAAAAUGCACCUAGAAGCACUAAAACCUUCAGCUAACUAAAGCUCUGUCAAAAGCCAAUUCAACUGGAACCAAAUCAUUCAACAACCUUCUGAUAACUCUCUGAAGCCUCAAACAUCAGAUUUUGAACUAGAGAUGAAGAUCAGAUGCUCAAAAUUUGAAAUUAACUCAAAAUUUCAAUGGAACAGUCUGUUUUUGGUUUU
RNAcentral lists this long non-coding RNA (399 nucleotides) under Nicotiana benthamiana. RNAcentral describes it as "long non-coding RNA (NBEN_LNC014852)". Lineage: Eukaryota; Viridiplantae; Streptophyta; Magnoliopsida; Solanales; Solanaceae. The record is from RNAcentral.